GUUUUCCCCUGUGAGCCUAGAGUCUUCUAAUCCUAGCUGGGCCCUUCUUCCCUGGCUCACUGCAUGAUGGAUUUUCUCUUUUUCUCCUGGAGCAAAUCUCUGUAGGCAAAACUCUUCAAUGUUCUGGAACAGAUUUUUAAUUAUCAGCAGAGCCACAGUCUGUCUGAAGCACAAAAUACGCGGCUAAAAGGGCGGAUCAGCCACAUCCUAAGGAGGAGAGAAGAGGCGCCGUGCAGCUGUAGUGCUGAAACAGCUCUUGUGAUACAGGAGCGUGAGCAGCUCUGGUCAGGACAUGGGAAAGCAAAACAGCCUCUCCUUGCUGGUAAAUCCACGUGCAGUCUUUAUUCAAUGCAAUAUAACAGGAA
This is a long non-coding RNA of Tympanuchus pallidicinctus (lesser prairie-chicken), 365 nucleotides long. RefSeq lists it as uncharacterized. Lineage: Eukaryota; Metazoa; Chordata; Aves; Galliformes; Phasianidae. The transcript has 3 exons. The record is from RefSeq and is a predicted model, not a curated record.